ACCCUUUGUUCAAUGCACGAAUAUCAAAAAGCUAAGAAAGGAACCAAAACACGAUAAUCGAUAUGUACAAACUCUAAUCAAUAAGCAUCAUAACGUACACCUUGGGGAGGAGCAAGAGUGUACACAUUGAGACCCGAACGAUGAUGAACUAUGCUUGUGAAGGUUGAAGCCAGAGGAAACUCUGGUUGAGGACCGUAGUGAUUCUGACGUGCGAAUCGAUUGUAUAACGUGAGUAUAAGGGUGAAAGACUAAUCGAACUAUCUAUUAGCCGGUUCCCUUCGAAGUUUCCCUCAGGAUAACUGGCAUUCUGAGAAAUAAAUUUUUAUCCGAUAAAGAGAAUGAUUAGAGGCAUUGGAGAGAAAUCAUCCCCAACUUAUUCUCAGACUUUAAGUGGGUGAGAAGCUUAAUUCGCUUAAUUGGAGUUCUACAUUGAAUGUGAGUGCCAAGUGGGUUAUUUUCGGCAAGCAGAACUGCCGCUGCGGGAUGAACAAAACGUUCGAUGAAGGUGCCCAAUACGAUACUCAUGAGGUACCGUAAAGGGUGUUGGUUGGUCUAGAUAGCAGGACCGCGGCCAUAGAAGUCGGAAGCCGCUAAGGAGUGUGUCACAACUCACCUGCCGAAUCAACCAGCCCUAAAAAUGAAUGACAUUCGAGCGUUGAACCUAUACCGUACCGUUGCUGUAAGCUGAGUCUAUACUGUGUGAGGGCAAGCUGCACUUGGUUCAGACAUGGAGUGACGGCAACGGCUAGGAGGGUCGAUGUGGCUAGCGGGAAAUCUCAGGCGUGAGCAUAGGUGAAGCAACCACAGGCGCAGAUUUUGGUGGUAGCAGCAAAUAUUCAGAUGAGAACCUUGAAGGCCGAGUUGACCUUGGGUCAAGCGGUCCUAAGUGAUCCGGAAAGUUGGAACAGAGAUGGAGUGCCUGACAUUGUCCGUUCGCGGGCUUUGUUCAGUAAUCUGCAAAGUACUGUUGCAUUGCAGCCUCCUGUAGCGAAAGGGAAUCGGGUUAAUGUUCCCGACCUGUUCACGGAGACUGGUGUGUGUCGGGCCUUUGGUUCGGCGUGCGCCCAGCGCGGUAACGCAACCAACUUAAGAAACGUCGGCGAAAGUCCUGGGAAGAGUUCUCUUUGUAAAGUUAUUUAAAUUAUACGUAUAAACCUCUGGAGUCUAUUUCAGUAGUCUGUCUAGAGAUUAGACCUUUGUGAGUGAAACCGAAGAUUACUGAGUUCAACAUUAGGUGGCGAGAUCGCAGAUACCCACUGCUGAAGAGUCCCAUGCUAGAAAAGAAAAGCUGUCUAGUGCAUUCUGAUUACCAAUGGAUGUCUAACUUGGUC
Molecule: non-coding RNA, 1331 nt
Filed under: Schistosoma margrebowiei
Lineage: Eukaryota; Metazoa; Platyhelminthes; Trematoda; Strigeidida; Schistosomatidae
Description: Eukaryotic large subunit ribosomal RNA
Rfam family: Eukaryotic large subunit ribosomal RNA
Source: Rfam by way of RNAcentral